UACGUAGGGUGCAAGCGUUAAUCGGAAUUACUGGGCGUAAAGCGCACGUAGGCGGCUUUGUAAGUUAGAGGUGAAAUCCUGGAGCUCAACUCCAGAACUGCCUUUGAUACUGAAGAUCUUGAGUUCGGGAGAGGUGAGUGGAACUGCGAGUGUAGAGGUGAAAUUCGUAGAUAUUCGCAAGAACACCAGUGGCGAAGGCGGCUCACUGGCCCGAUACUGACGCUGAGGCACGAAAGCGUGGGGAGUA
Molecule: ribosomal RNA, 247 nt
Filed under: uncultured bacterium
Lineage: Bacteria
Description: partial 16S ribosomal RNA
Rfam family: Bacterial small subunit ribosomal RNA
Source: RNAcentral